GUCUAAGGCCAUAUCACCCUGAAAAAGCCUGAACUUGUCUGAUCUUGGAAGCUAAGCAGGGUUGGGCCUGGUUAGUACCUGGAUGGAAGGAAACAGGUGAUAAUUC
This is a non-coding RNA of Erinaceus europaeus (western European hedgehog), 106 nucleotides long. Lineage: Eukaryota; Metazoa; Chordata; Mammalia; Eulipotyphla; Erinaceidae. The record is from Rfam.